CCAUGCGUUAGGGGCGCAAAACGAAUGAGUACAUUACUGGAGUUAAUGGCGAGCACUGAAAGUAAUGGAAAGGUCAAUUUGCCGAAGUGUUUUAAGGAGCCAACUUAAAAUGCUGGGGUGUUGUUUAAUAGGCAACACACUGUCACUGUUUUUAGCAGUGGAGUACUAUCCGAUGG
RNAcentral lists this non-coding RNA (176 nucleotides) under Evansella cellulosilytica. RNAcentral describes it as "Bacillus cellulosilyticus Lysine sequence". It matches the Rfam family "Lysine riboswitch aptamer". Rfam says of the family: Riboswitches are metabolite binding domains within certain messenger RNAs that serve as precision sensors for their corresponding targets. Allosteric rearrangement of mRNA structure is mediated by ligand binding, and this results in modulation of gene expression. This family includes riboswitches that sense lysine in a number of genes involved in lysine metabolism, including lysC. RNAcentral also lists the same sequence under 1 other name. Lineage: Bacteria; Bacillati; Bacillota; Bacilli; Caryophanales; Bacillaceae. The record is from RNAcentral.